Long non-coding RNA from Solanum tuberosum (potato), 217 nucleotides. RefSeq lists it as uncharacterized. The record is from RefSeq and is a predicted model, not a curated record. NCBI's taxonomy places the organism in Eukaryota, Viridiplantae, Streptophyta, Magnoliopsida, Solanales, Solanaceae. The transcript has 3 exons.
AUACCUAGGAGAUUUUUAACAUCAUUAAAUCUCUGGUUGAAGGAUGGCAAGCUUCCUGAAUAUUCAAUACAUGAACUUGCUUGUGGCCUUGUUAGAGCUCUUUUGUAAAUACUUGCAUUCAAAGGGAAUAAUUUACUGUGACUUAAAGCUAUCAAACAUCCUGUUGGAUGAAAAUGGAAUCACAAAGCUGUGUGAUUUUGGAUUAGCAAGAAAAUUG